UGUGUUUGAACGCGAGGGAGGUUUUCUCUUCGUUUGAUUGCAGAUACGUUUCUUUUAUUCCCUCUGUUUUUCCUUCCAACGGCUCUCAAUGGCGUUUACCAUAAGGUGUUCUUCGCAUCUAAGCAAUAGUACAAGGUUUCAUAUGCGAAUUUCCACAAUAUUACGUACCUAGUUUAGUUUUUAUGUAUUGGCUGGCCGCAGCCAAUACGAGCAGGUCUAAAGUAAGCCAAUUCAAGACCAGCUCAACGAUAUCCUAUUUCCCCUGGCUUGUAAAUGGGCUGGAUCGGCCUUCGACUC
This 297-nucleotide long non-coding RNA is filed under the name Phoenix dactylifera (date palm). RNAcentral's name for it is "long non-coding RNA (PDAC_LNC004753)". Lineage: Eukaryota; Viridiplantae; Streptophyta; Magnoliopsida; Arecales; Arecaceae. The record is from RNAcentral.